Molecule: transfer RNA, 74 nt
Filed under: Stegodyphus mimosarum
Lineage: Eukaryota; Metazoa; Arthropoda; Arachnida; Araneae; Eresidae
Rfam family: tRNA
About the family: Transfer RNA (tRNA) molecules are approximately 80 nucleotides in length. Their secondary structure includes four short double-helical elements and three loops (D, anti-codon, and T loops). Further hydrogen bonds mediate the characteristic L-shaped molecular structure. tRNAs have two regions of fundamental functional importance: the anti-codon, which is responsible for specific mRNA codon recognition, and the 3' end, to which the tRNAs corresponding amino acid is attached (by aminoacyl-tRNA synthetases). tRNAs cope with the degeneracy of the genetic code in two manners: having more than one tRNA (with a specific anti-codon) for a particular amino acid; and 'wobble' base-pairing, i.e. permitting non-standard base-pairing at the 3rd anti-codon position.
Source: Rfam by way of RNAcentral
GCAUUCGUAGCGCAAUCGGCUAGCGCUUUUGGUUCUUAACCGAAAGGUUUGUGGUUUAAGCCCAGACGAGGAUG